This 497-nucleotide ribosomal RNA is filed under the name uncultured bacterium. RNAcentral's name for it is "partial 16S ribosomal RNA". It matches the Rfam family "Bacterial small subunit ribosomal RNA", at positions 28 to 507 of the family's 1533-position model. The record is from RNAcentral.
GAUGAACGCUGGCGGCGUGCCUAAUACAUGCAAGUCGAGCGAACGGACGAGAAGCUUGCUUUUCUGAUGUUAGCGGCGGACGGGUGAGUAACACGUGGAUAACCUACCUAUAAGACUGGGAUAACUUCGGGAGACCGGAGCUAAUACCGGAUAAUAUUUUGAACCGCAUGGUUCAAAAGUGAAAGACGGUCUUGCUGUCACUUAUAGAUGGAUCCGCGCUGCAUUAGCUAGUUGGUAAGGUAACGGCUUACCAAGGCAACGAUGCAUAACCGACCUGAGAGGGUGAUCGGCCACACUGGAACUGAGACACGGUCCAGACUCCUACGGGAGGCAGCAGUAGGGAAUCUUCCGCAAUGGGCGAAAGCCUGACGGAGCAACGCCGCGUGAGUGAUGAAGGUCUUCGGAUCGUAAAACUCUGUUAUUAGGGAAGAACAUAUGUGUAAGUAACUGUGCACAUCUUGACGGUACCUAAUCAGAAAGCCACGGCUAACUACGUG